RNAcentral lists this ribosomal RNA (466 nucleotides) under Vreelandella stevensii. RNAcentral describes it as "partial 16S ribosomal RNA". It matches the Rfam family "Bacterial small subunit ribosomal RNA", at positions 338 to 795 of the family's 1533-position model. The record is from RNAcentral. Lineage: Bacteria; Pseudomonadati; Pseudomonadota; Gammaproteobacteria; Oceanospirillales; Halomonadaceae.
CCUACGGGGCGGCAGCAGUGGGGAAUAUUGGACAAUGGGCGAAAGCCUGAUCCAGCCAUGCCGCGUGUGUGAAGAAGGCCUUCGGGUUGUAAAGCACUUUCAGUGGGGAAGAAAGCCUUGGGGCUAAUACCCUCGAGGAAGGACAUCACCCACAGAAGAAGCACCGGCUAACUCCGUGCCAGCAGCCGCGGUAAUACGGAGGGUGCGAGCGUUAAUCGGAAUUACUGGGCGUAAGGCGCGCGUAGGCGGUCUGAUAAGCCGGUUGUGAAAGCCCCGGGCUCAACCUGGGAACGGCAUCCGGAACUGUCAGGCUAGAGUGCAGGAGAGGAAGGUAGAAUUCCCGGUGUAGCGGUGAAAUGCGUAGAGAUCGGGAGGAAUACCAGUGGCGAAGGCGGUCUUCUGGACUGACACUGACGCUGAGGUGCGAAAGCGUGGGUAGCAAACAGGAUUAGAUACCCCUGUAGUC